This 113-nucleotide small RNA is filed under the name Caballeronia glathei. Its description in RNAcentral is "Burkholderia glathei Burkholderia sRNA Bp1_Cand684_SIPHT". It matches the Rfam family "Burkholderia sRNA Bp1_Cand684_SIPHT". The record is from Rfam by way of RNAcentral. Lineage: Bacteria; Pseudomonadati; Pseudomonadota; Betaproteobacteria; Burkholderiales; Burkholderiaceae.
AAGAAAGUGACUGCCGCCCCGCACAGGGGCGAGCUAAUAGACCAAAGACAAAACAAGUCUCAUAGGAGCACAAGCGCAUCAAACGGCGUAAACCCCACAACCUCGAGCGCUAG